GAUGAACGCUGACAGAAUGCUUAACACAUGCAAGUCAACUUGAACUUCGGUUUGGGUGGCGGACGGGUGAGUAACGCGUAAAGAACUUGCCUCACAGCUAGGGACAACAUUUGGAAACGAAUGCUAAUACCUGAUAUUAUGAUUUUAGGGCAUCCUAGAAUUAUGAAAGCUAUAUGCGCUGUGAGAGAGCUUUGCGUCCCAUUAGCUAGUUGGAGAGGUAACGGCUCACCAAGGCGAUGAUGGGUAGCCGGCCUGAGAGGGUGAACGGCCACAAGGGGACUGAGACACGGCCCUUACCCCUACGGGAGGCAGCAGUGGGGAAUAUUGGACAAUGGACCAAGAGUCUGAUCCAGCAAUUCUGUGUGCACGAUGAAGUUUUUCGGAAUGUAAAGUGCUUUCAGUUGGGAAGAAAAAAAUGACGGUACCAACAGAAGAAGUGACGGCUAAAUACGUG
Molecule: ribosomal RNA, 454 nt
Filed under: uncultured bacterium
Lineage: Bacteria
Description: partial 16S ribosomal RNA
Rfam family: Bacterial small subunit ribosomal RNA
Source: RNAcentral